This 25-nucleotide non-coding RNA is filed under the name Drosophila erecta. RNAcentral also lists the same sequence under 8 other names. Lineage: Eukaryota; Metazoa; Arthropoda; Insecta; Diptera; Drosophilidae. The record is from RNAcentral.
UGUAAACAUCCUCGACUGGAAGCUU